UGAGCACCCUAUAGACAACUAAGAAAGACUCCUACUGCACAUGUGCGUAUUCUACUACCAAAGAUGAUGCAUAACAUAGAGAAAAAGCAUGUAUCACGCAGUUUGAACUCCACAAUCUUGGGUGAAAAAGAAAGAAAGAAGAGAAAGAAGCUUGAUUCUGAAGACUGCUGUUUUUUCUUGUAUUUUUUCAGUCAAAGAACUGAGGUAAGGAGAAAACUGAAGAGGUAUAAGCCUUUUCAGUAUUUUUUUGUGCAUAUCUCAAAUGUUUGUCUUUUUCUGUAAAAGAUUUGCUAAUGCAA
RNAcentral lists this long non-coding RNA (299 nucleotides) under Numida meleagris (helmeted guineafowl). Its description in RNAcentral is "lncRNA (ENSNMEG00000005519.1)". Lineage: Eukaryota; Metazoa; Chordata; Aves; Galliformes; Numididae. The record is from RNAcentral.